CAACCUGUUUAUAAGAAGUCUGCAUCACUCAGGAAACUUGAAGGCAGUGAAAUGAAACGAGCGAGGGAUGCUGAUGUUGACAGUGGGGAGAGGAGAGUAGAGCGCCCGUGCAUCUGUGUGUACGCAAACAACACAAGCGGCACGCGCGGCCUCACGACAACAAAGUCGGCAACAGCGCUCGAGCCGAUGACAAACCCGGGGCACGGAAAGCCGCGCGCGCCAGGAGGGCACCGCUGUGCAGCAGCGAGGGAAGGUGAUGCUCUGAGCGCCGCGCGUGCGAAGCGAGCUCCAACAAACACGUCACGCGGCUCUUCUCAUUUGUUGACAAGCCGAGCCCCGGCGACCGGCUGCACGCAGGCCGGCGCUGCGGCAGCCGCUCGCCCUCCUCGCGACUUGUCUCGGCGAGAGAAAAUCCGGGGCUAGCUCGCGAGCUAGCGGCGCUGCUAGGCUAACGUGUCACUGGGCGCUGAGCACGGGAGAGAGAAAGCGCAUUCGGCUCCGUUAGCCGCUAGCGCCCAUCCCCCAGCCAGCCAGCCUUCCCCGUCUGUCCACCAUCUUUAAUCUGUGCCCCGUCUCCCUUCCCACCGCACAAAACAGCACAAAAACACCGGACACUCACCGUCAACGAACAUCGCCGAAUCGAUUAUCACCGGCCGAAGCUAUAAAUCGAUAUUACUUUUAUUAUCCGGGAGCGGCGCAGCCUCAGACCGAGACACAGCUGCCCCCUGGCGGACACAGAGGGCCUCGGCGGACGCGCGCCUCGGGGGGCGAGCACGAGGAGGGAGGGGACCGCAGGACCCCGCAACAGCAACACUCACGGGGAGGCGCACAUGAGCAGCGACACUGGCCUGUUUCGGACUAUUAUUUGUAUUUAUUAAUAAAGGUAUAUAAGUGAAUCAAUCAAUAAAGUUCCUGGAAAAAAGAUAUUUUGGAAGAUGUGUGAGGGAUAGGUAGAUUGUAAAUGGAGGGAGUUCAAGUGGAAAUAAUUUUUCUGUGUAUUCAUUGUAUGUUUGCUUUCUAUAAUAAAUUACGUUUUCUGGAAGGGGA
Betta splendens (Siamese fighting fish) is the source of this 1047-nucleotide long non-coding RNA. RefSeq lists it as uncharacterized. NCBI's taxonomy places the organism in Eukaryota, Metazoa, Chordata, Actinopteri, Anabantiformes, Osphronemidae. The record is from RefSeq and is a predicted model, not a curated record. The transcript is spliced from 2 exons.